RNAcentral lists this non-coding RNA (204 nucleotides) under Actinacidiphila paucisporea. RNAcentral's name for it is "Streptomyces paucisporeus Streptomyces RNA 1601". It matches the Rfam family "Streptomyces RNA 1601". Rfam says of the family: Identified by deep sequencing of transcriptome at the end of exponential growth phase. Appears longer on northern blot than sequencing transcript. Streptomyces specific. The record is from Rfam by way of RNAcentral. Lineage: Bacteria; Bacillati; Actinomycetota; Actinomycetes; Kitasatosporales; Streptomycetaceae.
AACGACCGGUCGGACAUCAGUAUGUCCGACCACCAAGUGGAGGCUCCGAUCUCCCACCUGAUCGGCCGGAAGGCCGAUGGGUCCCGGUCAGACGGCAAUCACCGGUAGGACGCCGGUGGGCCCCGUUGAUGCGCCCCGCGGAAUAACGCGGCGGUGCUCCCGGUUGUGAGGAGCCCCGCCUGUGUCCCGUACGGGGCGUUUUCU